This 156-nucleotide ribosomal RNA is filed under the name uncultured archaeon. RNAcentral describes it as "partial 16S ribosomal RNA". It matches the Rfam family "Archaeal small subunit ribosomal RNA", at positions 326 to 480 of the family's 1478-position model. The record is from RNAcentral.
CGGGGCGCAGCAGGCGCGAAACCUCCGCAAUGUGAGAAAUCGCGACGGGGGGAUUCCAAGUGCCAUUCUUAACGGGAUGGCUUUUCUUUAGUGUAAAAAGCUUUUGGAAUAAGAGCUGGGCAAGACCGGUGCCAGCCGCCGCGGUAAUUCAAGGGC